UCCAAUACCAUAUAACAUUAUCUACAUUCCCCUCAUCUCUCUACCUCAGCAUCAUCUAAUCAUUGCUGACUCCGAGAUUGCAAGAUUCUCACGAUACUUCCAGGUAUCGUCUGAGUAUCCAAUCAUCCCAUCACUGCUCUUUGGUGGAAAAGAGCCACUCCUUCCGAUGUCUCGUUCCCAGGAGCCAGGAAUCCUUUCCCAGAACUCCCUCCCUUCAUCCCAUUGGCCAAAAUUAGGUCACAUGCUAACAGCUACACCAAUCACUAGCAAGAUACUGGGAGCCUCGCAAUUGGGUUAGACUGACCACAGGUUACCUGCGCUGCAGCGGGUGGUGUAGCGGAGGGAGGGCGGUGACCCGGCUUUCACACCUUGAGCUGCAGUACUGUAAGGAAGCCCAAGCCGUCCUACUGGAGAGAGAGAUCAUGUGAAGAAAACCACACAGAGAGAGAGAUAAGCCACCUGGAGGAGCAGUGGGCCAUUGGACAGCCUUGAUGGGAUGGCUGUCCUAGAGAGGAUGCCCGCCAGCUCUUCUGCUGCUGGACACGUAGACCUGGCCUAGAAGUUGAAGAAGCUGAAGGGGGCACCAGGGGAAGAUGGAAGAGUUUCAGGCCUCGCGCCAAAGAGAAUCUUGGCCUCAAGACCAGAGCCAGCAAAAAGCUGGGGCACCCAGUCAUACAGCUGUGAAGAAGUGAAUUCUGCCAACAACCAGAAUGAACUUGGAAUUGGAUUCUUCCCCAGUCAGGCCUCCAGGUGAGAAUGCAGUCCACUUAACACCUUGAUUGCAGCCUCGUGAGACCAUGAGCAGAAGACCCGCCUAAGCCCUGCCUGGACUCCUGAUCCAUGGGGCUAUAAGGUAAUAAAUGUGUGCUGUUUUAAGCUGCUAAAUUGGUGAUCAUUUGUGAUGCAGUGUAGAAAACCAGCAGAAUACCCAUUCUCAACCCUCUAAACUGGUAUGUGCUAAUUAAACUAUUCAUCCUUUCAGUGUCCUUUUUGAUUCCAAUUUUAUUUUAUACCCAUUAUAUUAAUAGAUAAUACACGGAUAUGGUAAAUUUUAAAACCGUAAGAGCUUAA
This is a non-coding RNA of Sus scrofa (pig), 1071 nucleotides long. NCBI's taxonomy places the organism in Eukaryota, Metazoa, Chordata, Mammalia, Artiodactyla, Suidae. The record is from RefSeq and is a predicted model, not a curated record.